UGCAACUGUAUAUCCGAGUCACAGCACCAUUAUAAUGGAUGUCAUGCUGCUUGCUUAGCGAGUAUCACUUCCUCCUGAUCCGACUCACUCUGAGGCUCAACACAGGACCUCUUCCUUGCUAGCACACAUGACCGCUCUCUCGAGGCCUCUUACCAGUUGGCGCCACCGAGAAGUUCCUGCGGAUUGCUAGCAUUAGUGGAUCAUAUUAAGCUAAUGUUGUGCAAUAAUAUGUAGCCUAUUUGAAUCAUUAUGGAAGUCAGUGUCACGCUCGUCGAUGGAAGGAUCGGACCCAGGUGCAGCGUGGUAGGCAUACAUGUCACGAUUUCUACGAAGAUCUCCUGGUCCAGCCUGAUAUCUCCAUGACUCAAUAGGAGGGGUCUCCAGGGGCCACCAGGAGCCUGAGGUGUUCAGGGGCCACAGCUUCACCCUCACUUAUUCCACUCAGCCACAGUACCAGGAGGCUCCUUCCUCCUCACGUUCACCAGCUCCAACAGCUCCAAUUGUCAAUCACUCUGCUGCCUUCCUCUUCCCUGCUGUAAAUUACUCCCACCAAAGGAAUUACAGCUGUGUUUAUGAGAACUGUUUUCUCUCUCAACUUCUACUCUGAGAGUGAGUUCCUCUCCCUCACAGCCUCUCCUCUGCCCACCUUCAUCAUCAGACAUGUUGUAAUGCUGCUGAUCCUACUGACAGCCAUCACUGCCUUCUACCUGUACUUCAAGACAAUAACGUGUGGUGCCUGGGCUUCUUUCUGGAGUGGAUUCUUGGAGUGAAACAUAAUUAAUUGUAGCAGAACUGUGAAUUUAGAAAAUGCCACGUUAUUAAAACAAAUGUUUUUCUCAUUAAGUAAUCCAUCAGUGUACCCCACCAUCAGUGUACCCCACCAUCUUAUCUGUUUCUUCUCUCAAUGUGUCUCUCAAAGUGUCCACCCCAAAGUGCUGCAUGUCAUGAUGACAGACACCUGUCUUGAUCAAUAAAAUACUUUAAAUAGACAAGAUGGCGGUGUACACACUGUUGGAUUACUUCCAGGAGCAAAAUAAUUAAUUUCUAAAAUCAAACCCUGCAACUGGACACAGACAUUUUAUGAGACUCCUGUUUCUAAGACAGCGUCGCCAAGCUAAGGUUGGUCAAAUUCUCUGUGCUACACCAAACAGUACCCAUCCUGUAACUCCAAUUAAUGGAUACUAAAAAUCUUAGGUUGAAUCACAUUAUCUUUUGUAACAAUCUGUAGCUACAGUUCUCUGCACUUUACUACACCUGAGACGCACUGAACUGUACUGCACAGUUCAUACAAAAAAUACAGUAUGUUACUUUUACCAUAUAACAUCCUUGUUGAGUACCCAGUUAUUUUUCAGUUAGCAUUAAAUAUUGUAGACUCCGUAUUUUAGUUUGACAAAUACGCAUAAUUUGGAUAUCUCUGAAUGGCUAACAUCUGUUUGAUGCUACAUAACCCUGUACGGCUUAUAUAAAUAUCUUCUAUAAAUCUAUAAAAGCAGACACAUUUUGGGGAUUGAUCGAAAAUAUCCAUAUGAAUUGUUUUGGUCCUGUUUCUGCUAAGGGUGGGCUGUGGAAGCCGAGUGCUUGUGGCGAAUGCUCUUGUCCCGUCUGAGGUGUACGGCCAGCUAGAUAAGACUGCCGAAACCGGUGUAGAGCUUGUAGACCUUAACCACCAACUGUUUGGACCUCUUCCAGAAGAUUUGCUGGUACUGCACGUGUCCUGGAAAGACGUGGUUGUGGUGUUACCAUUUUACACUUUUUGUGGAAGGGUCGUAGGGCAACACACCUUUGUUGGUAAAGAUGUCAACCGAUUGGUACCUAAGUGUUUACAUAGACUAGUGCACUGUUUAGGGACAAUGAGGGACAUUGGGAGCUGCUUUGAGAAGAAAGAUUAGUCAACAAAGGACUCCAGAUAACUUGAGUGUUACAAAGGGAAAAGAUAAGAAGAGAAAAGGUGGAGACUAAAUUGAUUACAUGUUCUGGAAGGUACUCUGUGGUCCUCAGGCUACAUCUAACCGCCUGUAACCCCAUAACACAAAAAAACUACUUACAAAUACUACCCAAAUCCCGUUUAUGCCAUGCUUACAGUAAAUUGAGCUAUAAACAUUUUUACCAACUUACCUUCACCUUGUGCAGAGCUUCAGGAUGGAAACACAUGCUUGUUGAAUGAGAUUAUGUACUACCUCCAAUACAACAAAACGCACAACAAUACACAAUUUAAGCACCCCACUAGUUGUAUUGAUCGCUAUUAGACUGGCUAGCUUAGCACAUCUAACAUGGACAUUUCAAUAUUUCCAGCUUGCUGUUAGCUAGUUAGCGAGAUUGCUAGCCAGCUAAAUUGGCGGCAAGAUUGUCACACCCUGAUCUGUUUCACCUGUCUUUGUGCUUGUCUCCACCCCCUCCAGGUGUCACCCAUCUUCCCCAUGAUCCCCUGUGCAUUUAUACCUGUGUUCUCUGUUUGUCUGUUGCCAGUUCAUGUUGUCUUGUCAAGCCUACCAGCGUGUUUUUCGUACUCCUGUUUCCUUGAGCCCCUGUUUUCUAGUUAUCCAAUAUUUGAUAAUUCUGCCUGCCCUGCUGAGCCUGCCUGCUGUCCUGUACCUUUUGCCACUGCCUUGGAUUACUGACCUCUGCCCGACCCUGAGCCUGCAUGCCGCUCUGUACCUUACGGACUCUGCCCUGGACUACCGACCCCUGCCUGCCCUUGACCUGUCCUUUGCUUGCCCCUGUUUUAUGUAAUAAACCUCCGUAAUUCGACCUGUCUGCAUCUGGGUCUUUCCUAAGCCGUGAUAGAGAGGGAGUUAGCUAUAUCGACAAUUGAUUUUUCAUAACAGUGUUUUCCAGACAAGAGUAGAAUAGAUUGAGUUACUCAUAUUUGCUUAAAUUAGCCAGCUUACAUUAGCUACCGUUUGUCAAAGUUAUAACGAACAGACAAACAUGUUUACUUUGCUGAAGGUAGCUACUGUACCAGUCUAGCAAUGACUACCAGGACUGUAACAUUAGCUAACAUAUCUAAUUUACCUAGUCCAGCUAACAUUGUGACAUCUAACUGAGAAUUGCACCACUUCUCAGCUGUCAUUGUUUAGAAUUAGCACAGCCAAACAGAACACCACAUAGGCAUGUUGACAAAAAUUAGUGAAAAACAAACAUUUUCAAAAUAAAUGAUGAGAUGACUAUGUGCUGGUCAUCUGAACUAAUCAAUGCCAUGAACCAAGCUUGUGGUUCAUGGCAAACUGGCUCUCAUUAGGAUCGCCACAGGAAUGGAAGACCCAGAGUUACCUCUGCUGCAGAGGAUAAGUUCAUUAGAGUUACCAGCCUCAGAUAUUA
Oncorhynchus mykiss (rainbow trout) is the source of this 3318-nucleotide non-coding RNA. NCBI's taxonomy places the organism in Eukaryota, Metazoa, Chordata, Actinopteri, Salmoniformes, Salmonidae. The record is from RefSeq and is a predicted model, not a curated record.